GAUGAACGCUGGCGGCGUGCCUAAUACAUGCAAGUCGAGCGAACAGAUGAGGAGCUUGCUCCUCUGACGUUAGCGGCGGACGGGUGAGUAACACGUGGAUAACCUACCUAUAAGACUGGGAUAACUUCGGGAAACCGGAGCUAAUACCGGAUAAUAUAUUGAACCGCAUGGUUCAAUAGUGAAAGACGGUUUUGCUGUCACUUAUAGAUGGAUCCGCGCCGCAUUAGCUAGUUGGUAAGGUAACGGCUUACCAAGGCAACGAUGCGUAGCCGACCUGAGAGGGUGAUCGGCCACGCUGGAACUGAGACACGGUCCAGACGCCUACGAGAGGCAGCAGUAGGGAAUCUUCCGCAAUGGGCGAAAGCCUGACGGAGCAACGCCGCGUGAGUGAUGAAGGUCUUCGGAUCGUAAAACUCUGUUAUUAGGGAAGAACAAAUGUGUAAGUAACUAUGCACGUCUUGACGGUACCUAAUCAGAAAGCCACGGCUAACUACGUG
Molecule: ribosomal RNA, 497 nt
Filed under: uncultured bacterium
Lineage: Bacteria
Description: partial 16S ribosomal RNA
Rfam family: Bacterial small subunit ribosomal RNA
Source: RNAcentral